This is a long non-coding RNA of Mya arenaria, 330 nucleotides long. RefSeq lists it as uncharacterized. NCBI's taxonomy places the organism in Eukaryota, Metazoa, Mollusca, Bivalvia, Myida, Myidae. The record is from RefSeq and is a predicted model, not a curated record. The transcript has 4 exons.
CUCUUCUUUUGUAAUGUAGACGUAACACAUACACAUACUGGCGAUGCUGAAUAUGCUGUCAUCCACCGGACACGCAGGGAUCUAGAAAACGUUGCUCUGUCUUCUAGCCAAUAUAUGCCUUCAUGUGAUGACAUAAAUGAUUGCUUCGGAAAUGCAGCGACUGAAAGUACAGUGCACUUAGAACAACCAUCAAACGAGAAUGGUAUUUCAGUAGAAACAGGUCCUGAUGUACGUCGAUGUCAAAGCAAAGAACAUCUUUAUACAACAGACAACGAAAAUGACAACGGUAUUUCUAUGCAGAAUCAAGUAAUGAACCCAGAAGCACCAAAU